Molecule: ribosomal RNA, 528 nt
Filed under: uncultured bacterium
Lineage: Bacteria
Description: bacterial SSU rRNA
Rfam family: Bacterial small subunit ribosomal RNA
Source: RNAcentral
GAGUUUGAUCAUGGCUCAGAUUGAACGCUGGCGGCAGGCUUAACACAUGCAAGUCGAGCGGGGAAGGGUAGCUUGCUACCUGACCUAGCGGCGGACGGGUGAGUAAUGCUUAGGAAUCUGCCUAUUAGUGGGGGACAACAUUCCGAAAGGAAUGCUAAUACCGCAUACGCCCUACGGGGGAAAGCAGGGGAUCUUCGGACCUUGCGCUAAUAGAUGAGCCUAAGUCAGAUUAGCUAGUUGGUGGGGUAAAGGCCUACCAAGGCGACGAUCUGUAGCGGGUCUGAGAGGAUGAUCCGCCACACUGGGACUGAGACACGGCCCAGACUCCUACGGGAGGCAGCAGUGGGGAAUAUUGGACAAUGGGCGAAAGCCUGAUCCAGCCAUGCCGCGUGUGUGAAGAAGGCCUUUUGGUUGUAAAGCACUUUAAGCGAGGAGGAGGCUACUUAGAUUAAUACUCUAGGAUAGUGGACGUUACUCGCAGAAUAAGCACCGGCUAACUCUGUGCCAGCAGCCGCGGUAAUACAGAGG